UCAGGCCUAACACAUGCAAGUCGAGCGGAAACGAGUUAUCUGAACCUUCGGGGGACGAUAACGGCGUCGAGCGGCGGACGGGUGAGUAAUGCCUAGGAAAUUGCCCUGAUGUGGGGGAUAACCAUUGGAAACGAUGGCUAAUACCGCAUAAUGCCUACGGGCCAAAGAGGGGGACCUUCGGGCCUCUCGCGUCAGGAUAUGCCUAGGUGGGAUUAGCUAGUUGGUGAGGUAAGGGCUCACCAAGGCGACGAUCCCUAGCUGGUCCGAGAGGAUGAUCAGCCACACUGGAACUGAGACACGGUCCAGACUCCUACGGGAGGCAGCAGUGGGGAAUAUUGCACAACGGGCGCAAGCCUGAUGCAGCCAUGCCGCGUGUGUGAAGAAGGCCUUCGGGUUGUAAAGCACUUUCAGUCGUGAGGAAGGUGGUGUAGUUAAUAGCUGCAUUAUUUGACGUUAGCGACAGAAGAAGCACCGGCUAACUCCGUGCCAGCAGCCGCGGUAAUACGGAGGGUGCGAGCGUUAAUCGGAAUUACUGGGCGUAAAGCGCAUGCAGGUGGUUUGUUAAGUCAGAUGUGAAAGCCCGGGGCUCAACCUCGGAAUAGCAUUUGAAACUGGCAGACUAGAGUACUGUAGAGGGGGGUAGAAUUUCA
RNAcentral lists this ribosomal RNA (650 nucleotides) under uncultured bacterium. Its description in RNAcentral is "bacterial SSU rRNA". It matches the Rfam family "Bacterial small subunit ribosomal RNA", at positions 42 to 671 of the family's 1533-position model. The record is from RNAcentral.